This 501-nucleotide ribosomal RNA is filed under the name uncultured bacterium. RNAcentral's name for it is "bacterial SSU rRNA". It matches the Rfam family "Bacterial small subunit ribosomal RNA", at positions 28 to 521 of the family's 1533-position model. The record is from RNAcentral.
GACGAACGCUGGCGGCGUGGAUUAGGCAUGCAAGUCGAACGGUAUCAUCCUUUCGGGGGUGAGAGAGUGGCGAACUGGUGAGUAACACGUAGGUUAUCUACCCUCAAGACGGGGACAACCCAGGGAAACUUGGGCUAAUACCGGAUGUGAGCAACUUUUAGUUGUUUGAAAGGUGGCGUAAGCUGUCGCUUGGGGAUGAGCCUGCGUCCUAUUAGUUAGUUGGUGAGGUAACGGCUCACCUAGGCAAUGAUAGGUAGGCGGCCUUAACGGGUGGUCGCCCACACUGGGAUUGAGAUACGGCCCAGACUCCUACGGGAGCAGCAGUCGAGAAUAGUCUACAAUGGUCGGAAGACUGAUAGUGCGACGCCGCGUGAACGAUGAAUCCCUUCGGGGUGUAAAGUUCUUUUAUAUGUGAGCAGUGCUUCUUAUAUUAACAGUAUGGGGAGAGAGAUAUUAGCAUAUGAAUAAGCAACGGCUAACUCCGUGCCAGCAGCCGACGGU